GGAGAUGUACUCAAGUUGGCUGAAGAGGCGCCCCUGCUAAGGGUGUAGGUCGGGAAACUGGCGCGAGGGUUCGAAUCCCUCCAUCUCCG
This 89-nucleotide transfer RNA is filed under the name Macrococcus sp. DPC7161. It matches the Rfam family "tRNA". From Rfam's summary of the family: Transfer RNA (tRNA) molecules are approximately 80 nucleotides in length. Lineage: Bacteria; Bacillati; Bacillota; Bacilli; Caryophanales; Staphylococcaceae. The record is from Rfam by way of RNAcentral.